AAGUUCCUGGGCCAGGGACUGAACCCAUACCACAGGAGUGACCUGAGCCACAGCAGUGACAACACUGGAUCCUUAACCUACUGAACUGCCAGGGAGCUCCAACCCUGGCGUUUUUCUAAUUAUGCUGCUCAGCCUGCUUGAAGUCUUCUGCAUCCAGGAGGAAGGAGAGGUUCCACACAGAGGAACGCAGCUCACUUUAGAAUCUGCCAGGCCCCCUCCACCAAACAGACUCAAGAAAAACACCAACCUUUCAGAGCACAAGGAGCCAUACUUCUGAGUCCAAGUUCAAAGCAAGUGAAUACAAAAUCCACCACGGCCCAGCUGGAUAGUCUCCGGGCCUAGAUUUUCAUGCUUACUACUCCUUAAUCCUUGACCACCAGGGGUCAGGGCAAGAAGUACCAACCUUGAAACUCCAGACUCGGAUAAAAGAAAAAAAUAUUUUACCAUAACCAAGAAGACUAAACACCACUCAACGAGCAUAGAAAAUGCUACGUGGACAAACCCAGUGGCCCAGCCAAAAGAGCAGAUCUCUGCAUAAAAACCUUGACCUUUCAUAAUGAAACAUUUCUCUUUGUCAUUUACGUGAUUAUUUCCGGGCAAAGUUCCACUCCCUGCUCGUGAGGUAUCACAGGCCCCCCUGGACUGGUUUUAAUCUGAGGGAUCCGUGAAUCAAUUCCUAAGAAGGCCGAUAUUAGAGAUGCUAAGUUUGACAAGCCAGUCAUCCUGUCAUUCUGCCUGCAGAAGGGUCCACGGCUUGCACCAAAUUUGCAAAAGGAGUGUGUCCCUUCAAAGAGCCUAAGACCCAGUCUCCUGGCGAAUCCACUCGGUCCCCCUGACCCAAUCCGCCCAGAUACGAGGAUGGAAACAAGACCAGGCAUGAAAGAAAAAAUAAAUAAAUCUCUUCCCAAAGCAAGUCAUGCGAAGCAUAAACAGGCCACAUUUAAGUGGAUGUGACAGAAGAGCUGUUGAAGAAGAUAACGCUCCCAGUACAAUCUCACAGGUCUCCAAGAAGCGAAGAGGAAGAAAACCAGCGUUUUGGAGACGAGGUCCCUGAGUGUGGGCUCCGCACGGCCCCACCCCUCGCGCCGGGACCAGAGCGACCCCACGGCACACCGGGCCCUCAACCAGUACCUGCCGGAUGCCGAAUGAACAGUCCUUGUCAGUUAUUCUUCCCAACCCUGGGAUGCAGGGAUUACAGUCUGCAGGCUCACGGACCAGGCUAAAAGAAGCCACGUGACUUGCCUGAAGUUACAACCGCUAAGAAGCAGAACUAGGAGCUAAACCCAGAUGCAAGCACUGCUAUGUAAAACCCAGGUCCCUUCCCCACACCACACUCUGUUUAGAUAGCAGGCUAUUAAUGCAAAGUCAUCUCAACUCCAGAGGCUCCCUCGAGGAUCAUUAUUUUAUCUGGGCCUGGGGUUCCUGGUGUAUACAGUGGGAGACAUGGGGCAUGUCAACAAUUGAUUAGUAGUGGCUGUCUCCAGACUCAAAGGGAACGGCUGAUUACGCCAGGAUUGAUUAGCAAUGUCUACCAGGGAUAAAGCAAUGAGCACCGGCUGCACGUGUGUCAUAUAUUGGCCAUUCCAGAACAAGAUGACCUGCAGGUCCUCUUCCAACUCUGGCUGCCUCUGAUUUUAAUUAUAAAAAAUUUAAAGGAGGGGAUGGAAAAGGAAAGAACAGACUAACAUUUUCCAACACUGGCCGUAGCUAAAUUCAGCAAAGCCAAAACUGGCCGCCUAGCCAGUCCUGCAUGCUCCAUGCACACAGCCCGGCCACAUGAGAGGAAGUGGAAAACAUCAGAUCUGCUGCCUGCACGCCCAAUAAGACACCAAGUCCAAGCCAGAAGCAGCAGAAGCAUGGCUUUGUCUGGCUUGGCCUGGGAUGCAAACCACCCCAUCAGUAAGCACAGCAGCGCCAUCAGGGUUCAUACCCCGGCCUGACCUCUUGCCCAUCCUGAGGUCUGGACAAAGUACUUCACCUCACUAAGCCUCCGUUUUCUCAGCCUGGAAAAUCCUUGAUUAAACGCAAUGGUGCAUCAAAGUUCUUAACAACACGCCCAGAGUGUGUGGGCAAACGCCACUGCCUUCAUCGUCGUCAUCACAUCACCUCCACCAUCACCCCCACCUGUCUUCGAAGGGGGGCUAUUUUCAGAAAAACCUCUGAGUGCAAGAGACUAGUUCUUUUCCCACGUUCAGCAUCACAGCCCAUUUGGCCACCAUGAUGCUAAAAGGGAAGAAGAGGCUCUGAAAACAACCCCAUCCUCCUGAAGCUCCUGGUGGAUCAGCCGGGGCCCUGGGGAGAAACAGAUGGCAGACACAAAAAGGUGUCAUUUGAAGAAACUGUAACAAAAGGACAGCAUACCAAGGUGUGGGCAGAACACAUGGAGACACAAGAGCCGGCUUCCUACCUGGGGCGACCAACUGCCCUGAUCUGCUGGGACUGAGGGGUUUCCCGCGACCCAGGACCAGACUGCAAAUACCUGGCACAGUCCUGGGCAAGGCACGACAGGUGGUUGCCUCCUUCCUACCCUGUGUGAAGGCAAAGGAGCAGGUACGGAAGCCUGGGUGAGGGUGACAGGACAGGAGCUGUGGCCUAGGGACACUGUCUGCCCACAGCAACCCCGAAGGAAGAAGCCUGAGACCUCCACCCCCUUCCUGGGCCCCCAUGAAUGGGCCAAACCCACCUGGAGACUGGAGGGCACAGAAGCUGUGGGUGAAGGCCACAAGGCCGGGUCCCAGGCACAAGAAGGGUGGACAAGAAUGAGUGCUAACCCUGGGAAGGUCAGGGGGCAAGACCCCACCUCCCAGAAGGCUCCCUGGGGGGCUGGUGGGACUUGGGGCCUCCAGCCCUCAUCCAACAAGGUGAGGACCAGAUCCAAGCUCUGUGGAACCAACCAUCAAUGAGCCUGGUUCUCAGCCGAGGCUGGAGGAAGAAGCCUCCUCCCCCGGUGGCAGGGUCACCGCCGACCACGUGAGCAAGGCUAAGAACAGGGAGCUACCGCCAAAGAAGAGGGUCUCCCUGGGCUCUGUCUAAACGGGGCGCUCUGCCAUCGCAAGCCCAGGCGCAACGCCUGCUGGGGGGCAGUAUGACAGAUACACAGGGGCGCAUCAUGGAAGGACCACGAGUGGUGUCCGCACUGGCACAUGCAGACCAGAGGCCACCAUUCCGGCCCCGUGCAGGUGUCAGGGGCAAUAUCGUUGAGAAAACAAAAGCGCCUUUCAAUUCUGUCUUUAAAUCAUAUUUUCCAAGAUCGAAAUCUUGUUUCCCAAGCACUGCUGCUGAAAGCUAAAUUGAAAACCACCAGAAACACCUUAAUCCUCCCCACUGCUGGUUUCUAUCUUGCCCUAGUUGGGGACACAGGGGCUGCAGCUGGACCCAAGACUGGGGACCUUCCAGGUCCCUGUGCCCGAGGGCACAAGCCCCUCCUGGAGGUUCUCCCGACAGCUUGAGGACACCAGACAGGGCCCAGGGUUUCCAAGAACACUUGAGGCACUUUUCUGUCCCUUCACGGCCUCCGAUGCCUGGGGCCUCCAUACAUCAACCAGGUGCGUUCAGCAGGUGCUGCCUGAUGAAACGCCUGCCCUCAAGAAGUUCACGGUCGAGCAGAAGCAGGAGCGCAGCUGGGCAGAACGGCAGCCGUGAUCAGGUGUGGUGACAAUGCGGUGGGCGUCCAGUGAUCGAUGCUUCUGGGCCGGACACUACUAAGCCCCUUGAUCUUUAGGACAAGCCUGGGAGGUGGCCACGAUUAUCCCCAGCUUACAGAUGAGAAAACAGUGCUGGAUCACACCACUGCUUACGUGGCCUGCUAGGAAGUGUCUGAAUCCAAAAGCUCUGGCCAGAACUCAUAGGAUCUUUAGCCAAAGAUGACAGGACACCCCAGGAGGGAAGGACUGACCUGAGGAGGCAGGAUAUUCAGCGCCUCCACCACCGCACCAGGUUUCAAGGUAGGGACAGAGCAUCCGUGGCCCUUCAGUCUGCCACACACACCCCUCUUCGAGCAAGGCUGUCCAGAACGCUGAGCAGGGUGUGCCCAACACCAGUCCCCCUGGCUGGACCAGGCUGGGGCUGAGAUGCAGCCAGGGCUUGGCCGUCCUGGCCCACGCUGUGCCCUGCUUCCCACUGGGGCAUUAGAAGGGCCCUGGAGCGCUGCUCUUUGCCACAGCCUCUGGCCUAAGACCCUCACCCCUUCACUGCGCCCACUGGCAGGACCCAGACAUACCCCAGAAGCCUCUUCCUAGCUUUCCUGCUCGUGUGGUUCACUCAGUUCCAAAAAGCAGAGGGACCCAAAGCUCAGCCUUGCUGGGGCUUCACUCAAGCAGAUGGAGACCUUUUUACAAGAGUCAUGUAGCCAGGUCACCCGCCCUGGCCCACCCUCUCUCCUCUUUGCAGGCCUCCCCCCCAAAAAAACCCUACUAAUUCAGACAGGAUUCAAGAAGCUGGUUUCAAAGUCAUCUUCCUCACCCCAAAACUUUUGAAUGCCGAUUCUCUCUCUUCUUUUUAUUGGCAUGAUGCAGCUCCCAGCAAGCCAGACCUCCCUGGAUCCCAGAGGUCCUGAGCCAUCAGGCGAAGGCGGGCACAGCAGGGCACCGGCAGGAGGGAUCAAAGGUAUGGGGAGCUCGCCAGCGCUCAGGCCUGUGGGAUUGCCUUCCAGGGGCCCUGAAGGCCCUCGGCUCCACGGCACAGGGACCUGGGCUCCUGUAGCCCCACAUGGUUCUUGGUUACCACCCCUGUGCCAGGUCCCAAAGAACCAAGGCGUCUGCGGGCAGGAGCAGGGCUCCCAACUCUGCCACAAGCCAGCCCACAGCCAGGACCCGCUCAUCAGAUGGGACCUCUCAGGGCAGGUGGGCUCUGAACCGAGGCACUCCAGGGGUUCUCAACCAGCGACAUGCCCCCCAGGGGACCGAUGGCGGAAUCUGCAGGCAUCUGGGCUGUCACACCUGCGAGGAACGGUGUACCGGCAUCCGGGGGGCCGAGGCACGGAUGCUGCUCAAGAUCCACGACGGCCACCGUGGUCCCCACCGCAAAGUACGGUCUGGGGCCCGAGGACAAGAGGGCCAAAGCAGACACACUUGGAGAUCAGGUACAGAAACGGCUUAGCACUUAUGAAUAAUCAGACCUCAUCCCUCACUGUGCAAACAAUCCUGUGUGUGUCACACGUAUGUCCUGGAAGAAAGCAAAGAUGGCUCUACCCCAAAAUAUCCAUCUGGGUGGUUUCUGGGUGGUGGGAUUUGGGGAGAAUUUUUCCCUUCUUUAUUGUUUAAGGUCAUCACCCUCCCUGCCUGAUUAUCUGCUGUAUUUUGCAAGCGUGGAGGAGAACAGCUGGUAGAGAAGACAGGUGGGCAAAGAGGCCGUUACCGUUACCACCUGGCUGGGAAAGUGCCAGCUCUCAGGAGGAAGCCUUCACCCCGGCUGGGGGUCAGGGAAGGCUCCUGAGUCGCGGCGGGCCCCGGACCCCAUGCUCGCCAUCACCAGGUUAUCACAGCCAACUCUCAGGGACAGGGCAUCUGAAGCAAGGAAACUGAGGCUCCCCUCUGGGUGAGCUCGCCUCCACCUUGGUGGAGAAGCAAACCUGCACCUUGGCCCUUCUAGAGACACAUGUACAGGAAGACGGCCAAACCACCCAAGGUGACUCUCUGCUCUAUCCCCACCCUCCCCGCUUCUGCAAGGCCCUGCGCUCAGCAGGGAGCCAGCCCUGGCCACUCUGGGCCUUUCUGAGCCUCCACUCUUGAGCCCGGCUCUCGGCCACACGCAGUUACUCUCUGGAGCCAGACAGUGUGGGUGCAAACGCCAGCUCCUCCACUACUAGGUGGGUGAAUAGUGAC
RNAcentral lists this long non-coding RNA (5822 nucleotides) under Sus scrofa (pig). RNAcentral's name for it is "lncRNA (ENSSSCG00065007565.1)". The record is from RNAcentral. Lineage: Eukaryota; Metazoa; Chordata; Mammalia; Artiodactyla; Suidae.